UGAAGUUAAUUCGUAUCUUUGUAAUCAUUCACCCAACAGCUUCAAGGCCUCUGUCCAUAGGAUGAGUUUUUCAUUGGAUUAAUCCACACCGGUCAAUCUCUCUAUAAAGGAAGGGAUGAGCAAUCGUUGUUCUUCACAAACCAGAAGCUUCCCUUGGGCUUGCUGAAAUUCUCCUCUUCUUUCUCUCUUCUGCCAUGUACCUUCUCUGUUGCUCUUCAUUUAGACCAACCAGCAAAAGAGAAUACCAGAUCUGGAAAACUCUCUGUACCUCACGGCUUAACCCAAGAAAAUAGAAGGAAAGUGCAGCAAACCUCUUCUCAUCCCUCUUUGUUCGGCCAUCUGCUGUCCAGCAGCCCUUCUUCCUCUUUAACCAGAAGAAAGCCCCAAGUUUUCCCCUUCUUCUUUACUGAAUCUCCAGUGGUGAUUAUAUCUGUGAACAUUUUCUUGAAGCUGGAAGAAUUACUGUACCAAGGCGUCAGUGAGUUGAGGAG
Molecule: long non-coding RNA, 491 nt
Organism: Alnus glutinosa
Lineage: Eukaryota; Viridiplantae; Streptophyta; Magnoliopsida; Fagales; Betulaceae
Exons: 3
Source: RefSeq, a predicted model, not a curated record